GGCAGUGUUGCUCAGUGGUACAGCACUUACCUGGUUUGUAUGAGAUCCUGAGUUUGAUCCUCGGCACUCUGA
Molecule: transfer RNA, 72 nt
Filed under: Marmota marmota marmota (Alpine marmot)
Lineage: Eukaryota; Metazoa; Chordata; Mammalia; Rodentia; Sciuridae
Also listed under: 3 other names
Rfam family: tRNA
About the family: Transfer RNA (tRNA) molecules are approximately 80 nucleotides in length. Their secondary structure includes four short double-helical elements and three loops (D, anti-codon, and T loops).
Source: Rfam by way of RNAcentral